UAUAGUCGCCGUCACGUAAAAUUGGCACCAUGAUUUUUGUCGAAAUUUUUAAAAAUAUUAGUCGCAUUCACUCGAGACGAUGUUUUUCAAAUAGCGGAAUAAAAAUCCAUUCCAAAUAUCCACUACUGUCCUACCUUUUAUUGUGUUUGCACUGUAUAAUCCUGACCUUCACAUUAUCCAAGAUCAUUUUCAAUGGUGGAAUCCGACAUUGUUAUUACCGGAAGUGUUGCUGUGGAGUUUCACGUACAGUUAAUUUGCAUAUUUCUCGGAGCCACUCGGAUCUUUUCAUCAAUUUUAAGGUAAGUCAAGAGAAAUAUUUUAUAGCAGACGAUAGACGACCAUAAACAAAGAAGAACAUUUACGCAAACAUAAUAUAUUACUGAAUUUAUCGUACCAUAAUUAUUUCAAACUAAAAAUGCCACCUAAAAACAAAAAUGUAGUCAGAAACCUACAGGUAAAUACUUGUAAACAAAGGAAAUAAAAAGAAAAACGAAAUUUAAACACAAAACAAAUAAAAAAUGCAGACGAAUAAUCUGCAAAGGAACUUUUCAUAGCACAGACACUUGCUUGUAUCCUAAGGUCGACAAUCCAUAUAUAUAUAGAACUGAACCACUAUAAGAGUUUAAAUGCAUAGUAGAGUAGCACAAAUGGUGCAGGUUUUCUUCUCCAACUUGUGCCAAAACUUGGCAAAAAAGUGCUUGACAGUACUCAAGUUCCGAAAUCUCUGUUCCUUUACCUAUGCCUAUAGCUAUGUCUACCCCUAUCAAUCAGAACUUGAAAUGUUUAAACCUACCUUAUACACAUACGUUUAUCUGAUACAAUGUCCAGUCUUGAACCCUAAGCAUUAGUCCAAAUUAAUGCUGUUCGACAAAAUGUCAUCAAAUUUAUAAGCUGCAAAAUUAAUUUUUCAAGUAUGCAGUAAAAUCAAAAUGAGAACAAACCCACAACCUCUUGAGAAAUCAUACUUCACAGAUCAUUAACAUCAAUGACACAAAAGUAAAUUGUCAUGAAAUUGGGAAUGAUACAGAGAAUGUGUGAAACUGAAAGAGACAACAACCCGAUUAAAGAGCUAAAAACAGCCCAAUUCCACCAAGCACAACAGUUACUUUUUCUGGUUACACUGAGUAGGGAUUUAUAAAAAAGAAGAUGUGGUAUGAUUGGCAAUGAGACAACUGUCCACAAGAGACCAAAAUGUCACAGACAUUAACAACUAUAGGUCACCGUACGGCCUUCAACAAUGAGCAAAGCCCAUACCGUAUGGUCAGCUAUAAAAGUCCCCGAUAAGACAAUGUAAAACAAUUCAAAAGUUAGUUUUUCGUCUUAGUUAGGCCAAAUAAAAAUAUAUGUGUGGUUUCAGUAACUCUACUGUCCCUACUUUUUCGGCUUAAAAAUAGCCUACCCUAAAGAUUUUAUUGUCAUUUUUCAUUAAGCACUGUUAAAGUCAUAAUGUUGCUCCCAUAGACUCAAUGUAAAAAAAAACAUAAAAUAAAAAAAAAUCCCUACCUACCUACCCAAACUUUUUUUUCAAAUGUAACUGGAACCACACAUACUUUUU
RNAcentral lists this long non-coding RNA (1555 nucleotides) under Mytilus galloprovincialis (Mediterranean mussel). Lineage: Eukaryota; Metazoa; Mollusca; Bivalvia; Mytilida; Mytilidae. The record is from RNAcentral.